AAAGAAGACCCUGUUAAGCUUGACUCUAGUCUGGCAUUGUAAGGAGACAUGAGAGGUGUAGCAUAAGUGGGAGAUGGCAACAUCGACGGUGAAAUACCACUACUUUCAUCGUUUCUUUACUUACUCGGUGAGGCGGAACGCGUGCGUCGUUCGCUCACGAGCGGCGACUGUCACGGUGUUCUUGAGCCAAGCGCGCAGAGUGGCGUUCCGGACUUCGCGUCCGUGUUGUUUCGUUCGUCCGUUCGCGCGGACGUUACGUGCGACAUUGUGGUGUGUUGUUACGGGCGCCGAUAUACGCUCCCGCGUGAUCCGAUUCGAGGACACUGCCAGGCGGGGAGUUUGAUUGAGGCGGUACAUCUGUCAAAGAAUAACGCAGGUGUCCUAAGGCCAGCUCAGCGAGGACAGAAACCUCGCGUAGAGCAAAAGGGCAAAAGCUGGCUUGAUCCCGAUAUUCAGUACGCAAUUAUUAAAAUAAUUCUAAAACUUUUUCUAUGAUUAUACCAAUUUGUACAGUAAUAAAUAAUAAUAGAUAAAACAAAUAAUAAUUAAAUUAAAAAAGAAAAUAGGUAUGUUUUAC
RNAcentral lists this non-coding RNA (577 nucleotides) under Tribolium castaneum (red flour beetle). Its description in RNAcentral is "Eukaryotic large subunit ribosomal RNA". It matches the Rfam family "Eukaryotic large subunit ribosomal RNA", at positions 2403 to 2757 of the family's 3401-position model. Lineage: Eukaryota; Metazoa; Arthropoda; Insecta; Coleoptera; Tenebrionidae. The record is from Rfam by way of RNAcentral.